Molecule: long non-coding RNA, 1747 nt
Organism: Ictalurus punctatus (channel catfish)
Lineage: Eukaryota; Metazoa; Chordata; Actinopteri; Siluriformes; Ictaluridae
Source: Ensembl
AGAACAUUAACACAUCUCUACUUUGGUGCAUUUAACAUUAUACACACUCUACGAAAUAAUGAAGACUUUAAAAGCAAAGUUUAGGAAGACUGAGACUCCCAGUGCACAAAGGGAACAAGUUAGGAGUACUUUGCCCCCUACAACCCCAACCCUGCCUGGGGGGACCACAACUCACAAGAGAAAAGCACCUCCUCCUCCAAAGUCUCCUAGACAGGGUACACAGUCUUCCCCAAACCUGCAUCAUGGCCCUACCCAAUGCUUAGUGCCAGACAACUCUGCUUCUCCUUCCCCAGCCCCUAAGACUCAACACUCCUUUCCAGACAACUUUAGGACGAGGAAGUGUUUGAGGAGAUCCGCAGGCUACGGCUAGAAAGGGGACAUCUACUACAGAAGAUUAAGGCUCUGGAGCAGCAACAGAACAGCACCACCGCUGCACUGGAGGAGCUGAGCUCACUAAGAGAGUGUUUGAGAGAGGCAGAGGCAGAGCGUGAUUGCCUGGAAGUAGUGCUGAAGGAGCUGGGAGGUGUUCAGCUCAGCAGUACAACCUGCAGCAUUAGUAGGGCUACAGAUGAUAUGCUGGAUUUCCCUGGAACAAAUAGGCUGCUGUCCAGGCGGUCACAAUGCACAGAUGCGGAGCUGCCUCCUGCCCAAGCAGAGAAGUCAUCUUGGGAGCAAAUGAACAGUGUGGAGCAGCUUUGCAGGCAGGUGGAGGAGCUGACUGCACAGAAUGCUGAACUGGUUCUCAAAGUACAGAUGCUUGAGAUGUUUGAAAAGGAUGACACAGACUUUCAUAGCUCUGGUCUUGACUUUGUGCCCAUGACUGUCUAUGAUUCCUUAAAGAGAGAGUUUGAAAAGCUGCAGCAGCAAUACACCAGAGCUACUAAAAGCUCAAACGCUGCAGAGGACCCUGGGUCUGAGAACAAUCCUGAAGACAUAGGUGCGGUGGAAUCCAAGGAGGACGAGGAGGAGGGUUUAGCUAGAGAAAUAGUGAAGAAGAAGGGAAAACAGAAAAGCCUAGAGCAACAGCUAGCCUGUGCCCAUGCUGAGUUGGAGGAGCUGAGAAAAGAGAUGCAGUUGGGUAUUGAUUCUGUGACUGCAGGUUUAGCAGUUACCCAAUCCAAAGCUGAAGAGGAGGGGCUGAGCUUAGACAUACAGAAGUUGACAGCCCGGGUGCAGGAACUGGAGGCAGAGCUGGCAAACAAAGAGGUGGCGUGGAAGGAAGGGAUGAAUGAGAGUGACAUAAUCCAACAGUUGAAACAAAAGGUGGAAGAGUUAGAGGAAGCUCUACAGGUGAAGGAGAAAGAGGCACAGGAUAUGAACGAGUCAGUGGAGAGAUCAAAACAACGAAUAAAGGAGUUAGAGGUGGCCCUGGAGCAGGGCAUUGGGGCAAGGUGUUUGGCAGAAGGCGAGGAAGAGUCACUGAAUAAAUUACAGGUGCGUGUAGCAGAGCUAGAAACUGAGCUAAGUAAGAGUAUUCCCCGUGAGCAGCUGGAUGAGGUGCAGGUCACCCUGAGUCUCCAGCUGGAGCAGCUAGCUCGAGAACGUUCUGAGAUUGCCCUCCGACUCAAUCAAGCUAUGCUAGACCUGGAGAGACUUUGCCCUCCACCUCACACUGACAAAGAUGACAGCGACGAAGAUGAAGAGGAGCAGUCUGAGAGCUACAAGUCAUCUGGUGCUUUGGAGUUGCAUGGUGGAAGAACAUUGAGGACAGUUCAAGAAGAGCUGGAGGUGACAGACAUGGAAGCAC